AAUGCAAUGCAAAUGUGAUCCCGGAUACAUUCCAAAUGUUAGCAGUGUUUAUUUUCAGAAAAUGCAAAAUGCGUGGUUGAGUAGAUAGUGGCGUUGUGAGUUAACUGAUUCUUUUUUGCCAGAUCUAAUACGCAAAAAAUGGCGAAUAAUAUAUUUUCUUCAAGUUCUGUGAGUCUGAAAAUCGGCUUUUUAAUUUUGUUAGUUGUUAUGAUAGUUCACAUAAUUGGAUUUUCUAUACCAAGAUGGAUUACAUUUGAAAUAAAUUUUAGACAGCGCCAACCCGAAUCUUCAUACCACGGCGGUCUCUGGCAACACUGCGGAUGUUCUUCCGUUAUAAGGUCUGAUGUGUGACUUUGUGUUUCAAGGACAAAUGAUCCAGAAUGGUUUAAGACAGUACAAGCUACAGAAACACUUGGUCACAUUGGUCUGGUUUUAUCGGUGUUUAUAUCUGCAAUCAUGCUGUUCUACAAACAAAACAAACGUCACAAGACUCUUAACAUCUGCUGUAUGAUACUGUCAGGUCUGUUGAUUUUCAUUGGUCUGACCUGGUUUGGGAUCAAAUCUAGGGAACAUUUGGACGCAUUUACCCGAUCUGCCAGCCGUAUCUACGAUGAAAUUCCUGUCAGAAAAUUAAGUUAUGCUUAUAUUCUCUGUAUUAUUGCGGGAUUUCUCUGUAUAUUUGUGUGCACGCCUCUCUUUUUCUACGACUUGUACUCGCACAGACCACCACCUGAAACACAAGUUGAUUAUACAACUCGAGGUCAAAUUCAUGUUCCUCAGCAUGGAAAUACAUUUGUUGGUCAACAACCAGUAGGCUUGGCACCAAUACCGAAGCAGGCGCAGUGAGGACCACCGCCAGCGUAUGAACAGUCUGACAAUAGUAGAAUACCGUAUAAAUCGUAACCAUUUUUCUACAUUUUCAAAGAAGAGUCGUUUCUUAUAACAAAUUAUAAUGAACAUAUUUUAAUUCUUAGAAAAACGUUCGCGUCAGUAAAUAAGACAGUAAAAAAGUAUUGUUGUAGUUGACGAGUUCAUCAUAUCGUUCUAGAUUCAUCUAGCAGUCAUAGAAACAAGGCUUCAUCACCUAUAAAACAAAACGAAAAAAUGAAAAUCAUUGUUAAGAGAACAUUGAUCAAACUAAUAAAAUUGUAAUUAUUUAUUAUAACUCCAAAGUUUUCUCCGUUAUGUUACGUAUAAUUUAACAUAUAAUGAUAUGUAUGUAUUGGCUGUUAAAAUAAACGUAGAUUGUUCUUUGAUCUUAACACCUAGAAAUCACACAAUUUUCUUACAAAAUGCGAAAUACUUUAAUCAGUGAUUUUCAUAGUCAUUCAUAUUUUGUUGUAGUUUAGGUGUGCAAUUCCGUGCUAAGAGGUUUACCUUUAGGUACAGGGAUCAUACAGCUUUGAGGCCUAUUUUGUAGUACAAUCUUUUUUUUUUUAUAAAAUAAGUAUUUGUAAAGAAUUAAUUAAGCGGGUCCAGAUAAGCCUCAGCCACAAUCGUGCAUAAAAAUGUAUGUUUAAACUAAUAAAUCAAGAUUUUAAUUGUUAGGGACGUAGACCGGGUAACAAAAUAAAAUAGUUCAGCAAUCUCAUUGCAGCAGUUUUCACCUUAAUGUUUUGCUUGUAAAACAAAAGUUUCAAAGAAUUGAUUGAAGGCAAUUUUCGUAUUUUGAGAUUUUUGAUUACAUUAGGACAUUUUAACUCUCAAUCGAAAAAGCAUUUCUUUAGGGGGGGGGGGGGGUGAGGGGAACAGGUCCGAGUGAGGUCAUUCAAAAUGAUUUUACCCAACGCCUACAGGGGAUAUUACUGCAGUCAACUGUUUAUAUUCUGUCAAGCCAACCAGUAAGUGCUCGUAUGAAACAAAUAUAAAAAUAUCUUUAAUGAAAAGCGUGCAUUAUUUUAUGAAACACAAAAAAGUAAGUUUGUCUAUGAAUUUUUUUCUUUAUACAUUUUUGGAAGAUUUUUUGUGUGAUACAGAGUUGUACUAUAUACUGAAAGAUCCUGUAACUCAAUUUUCUUUUUUUAUAUCAUAGAUAUAAUGAUCAGAUGAAGAUUUAUCAAUGUUGUAAGUUCAAAACAGCAUUAUUUGUAAAGAUAUUACCAGAUUAAAAUUUCAUGUUAAUAAAGGGAGGUUAUCAGAAA
Molecule: long non-coding RNA, 2141 nt
Organism: Ruditapes philippinarum (Manila clam)
Lineage: Eukaryota; Metazoa; Mollusca; Bivalvia; Venerida; Veneridae
Exons: 3
Source: RefSeq, a predicted model, not a curated record